This 468-nucleotide ribosomal RNA is filed under the name uncultured bacterium. RNAcentral describes it as "bacterial SSU rRNA". It matches the Rfam family "Bacterial small subunit ribosomal RNA", at positions 29 to 506 of the family's 1533-position model. The record is from RNAcentral.
ACGAACGCUGGCGGCGUGCCUAACACAUGCAAGUCGAGCGGAGAUUAGCGGAUGGUAACUGAAGCUAAUUUUAGCGGCGGACGGGUGAGUAACACGUGGGCAACCUGCCUUGAAGAGGGGGAUAACACCGAGAAAUGGGUGCUAAUACCGCAUAACAUACACAAUUCGCAUGGAAUGUGUAUCAAAGGAGAAAUCCGCUUUAAGAUGGGCCCGCGGCUGAUUAGCUAGUUGGUAAGGUAACGGCUUACCAAGGCGACGAUCAGUAGACGACCUGAGAGGGUGACCGGCCACACUGGAACUGAGACACGGUCCAGACUCCUACGGGAGGCAGCAGUGGGGAAUAUUGCGCAAUGGGGGAAACCCUGACGCAGCAACGCCGCGUGGAGGAAGAAGGUCUUCGGAUUGUAAACUCCUGUCUUCUGGGACGAUAAUGACGGUACCAGAGGAGGAAGCCACGGCUAACUACGU